This 333-nucleotide ribosomal RNA is filed under the name uncultured bacterium. RNAcentral describes it as "bacterial SSU rRNA". It matches the Rfam family "Bacterial small subunit ribosomal RNA", at positions 568 to 898 of the family's 1533-position model. The record is from RNAcentral.
UGCGUAGGCGGAUAUGUAAGUCAGAUGUGAAAACACUAGGCUCAACUUAGUGAUUGCAUUUGAAACUAUGUAUCUUGAGUGCAGGAGAGGAAAGCGGAAUUCCUAGUGUAGCGGUGAAAUGCGUAGAUAUUAGGAGGAACACCAGUGGCGAAGGCGGCUUUCUGGACUGUAACUGACGCUGAGGGCACGAAAGUGUGGGGAGCAAACAGGAUUAGAUACCCUGGUAGUCCACACUGUAAACGAUGGAUACUAGGUGUAGGGGGUAUCGACUCCCUCUGUGCCGGAGUUAACACAAUAAGUAUCCCACCUGGGGAGUACGGCCGCAAGGUUGAA